This 396-nucleotide long non-coding RNA is filed under the name Homo sapiens (human). RNAcentral's name for it is "non-protein coding lnc-SATL1-1:1". Lineage: Eukaryota; Metazoa; Chordata; Mammalia; Primates; Hominidae. The record is from RNAcentral.
GUUUGACUCUUUUCAUCGACAGCAAUUUGGCAUGCAAACACGUGGGGCCUCAGAGAAGACUCAGGACCUUGAAGGAGUUGCCCAACUCAGAGCUAUGGUACUAGCAGGGGUCCACUGAAGCCUCCGCAAGUUGCAGCUUCUCCUCUGGUAAAACUGGAAAUGUUAAUUGGACAUGCUAAAUGGGAACUAGUAAAAUCGCCUCAGCCCACAAAGUAUAGGGUAGAAGCUGGAGUGCUAAUCAGGACAGAUCCUCCACUGCACAGUCCUUUGUGUGGAGCAUUUAUCAGGGAUAAUGGCAAAAAAACGGAAACAAAAAUCAUGGCAUUUUGAAGACCAGAGAUAUGAAUCUCCUUCAUCUGGCGUCCCACUGGGCUGGAAUCCUUUUCACUGAGAAAG